GCUGCUGCUGGUGGGCCUCCAAAGAAUACUCCUCACUCAACUUUGGGACAGGAUCAGGACAUAGGACCAACCUAGGAUCUGGAAACUAACAAGAACCAGCUAUCUAUAGAAGUUGCUGCCCUAAGAGAUCCUCGAGAUUCCAUAGCAUGAAAGCUCCCAGGUGAUGAGAUGCUGCUACACACUGGACUACACUUUGAGUAGCGCUUGUCAAGGAGGAAUGAUGGGAUAAAAAAGAGGAAUCCAGAGCGGAAACAGGAAGAUGCGGCAGGAUAUGAGCCUCAGCUCCUGGAAGGCGCUAUUGGAAAAGGGAGCAGACCCUCUCAGGUGGCUGGCCGUCCAGCUUCUGCUACGUCUGUGAGGUGGCUCAGUUUCGUCUGUCUGCAAAGUCCUGCCUUCCUUCAAGCUGAUGCCUCCCUCCUGUUGGUCCAGAGGAAAGACAGGACCAGUGGCUGGAGCAGGGACUGCAUGCCCCUGCUGCCCAGGACCCUCGGGGGAGCCCGGGAGAGAGGACCUGGAGCCUGACAGCUCUCCCCACUGAGCCUCAGGCCUGCGCUUGGGAGCACGGCUGAAAGUCAUCGUGCUGCUCUUCUGUCGUACAGGACUGGGAGACUCAAAAGAGGAAGCAAAGGGACCAUGACGCUCUCACAAGUGAAAUGAGGAAAAAUAAUGAAUUUUUAACAAAGCUAAAUUUAUUCAGUUUAAAGGACUCUCCUUUAUGCUUAGAUUAAAACUUCCUGUUUUUUUAACUAUCAUUUAUUAAAUUAAAGUAAUUGAUAGUCGUAUGUGUGUAUAUGAGUAUGUACGUAGUUUUAUUGUAGCUUAUUUGUUUUUUAUAAGUCUCUUGAUAUGUAAAAAAAUUAAAAUUUG
Molecule: long non-coding RNA, 867 nt
Filed under: Equus caballus (horse)
Lineage: Eukaryota; Metazoa; Chordata; Mammalia; Perissodactyla; Equidae
Description: lncRNA (ENSECAG00000049264.1)
Source: RNAcentral